GUUGGAAGCAACCUUUGGACUGUGUGACCAACACCAUCUUGUUCUGGAUAAGAAACUCCACAGGUCGAGCAGCCCGUUGUAACAGGACAGGGAUUUGAACCCCUGGGAUCCAGGCGAAGCACUGGCCCCCUACAAUGAGAACCUGACUCUCCACCUGGGCCUCAACCUAAGACACAAAGUGGUCAGAAGAGUGACGUUUACUUCCUGUGUCAAAGCCCUGUCUGGUGCACUUUCAAACACAGUCAAAGAGCCUUGAGCUUCCAAGACCCACUGCUGAGGUUGGCCUAGCAGAGACAUGUAGGCUUCUCUCAUGACCAGCAGCUAGUUUGAGAUCCAUCUGUGCCCCACACAAGGUCUACGGCUUGAGAAUUAUCAGCGGGGGAUGGUUCAGUGGAAGAAUGCAUGCCUGGCAUGUGCUAGGCCCUGGGUUCAAUACCCAGCACCACCAGAAAAAUAAAUAAACAGGAGUUAUAAGUACCUUUCGAGCAAGUUAUAGUCAUCACCUAUGGGAAAGUAAAAAUAAAGAGGUUAUUUUAUAAAAUCCUAACUGUGACAGUCGUCCUUAUGUCUACUCAGAAUCUUUUGCUUUGGAUAUUGUGAAAGAUGUCAGAGGAUGAGAAAAGAAGCUGGAUGUGGUGGCAUGCAAGAGCAAUUCCAGUAAUUUGGAAGGCUAAAGCAGGAG
Molecule: long non-coding RNA, 682 nt
Filed under: Fukomys damarensis (Damara mole-rat)
Lineage: Eukaryota; Metazoa; Chordata; Mammalia; Rodentia; Bathyergidae
Description: lncRNA (ENSFDAG00000024983.1)
Source: RNAcentral